GAAAAUGUUCUGGAGAAGAGGGAAUCUGAAUUUGGCUUUGAAAUUUGAAUAGUGGUCCUAAGGCACAAGGGACAGAAUUCCUGGCAGCAGGAUCCAAGAUGGGAAAGGCCCAGAGAUGGGGCAGGUUAUUAUGCAUUUGAAGACCUCUGGAUUUGCUGAAGCAGCUGCAGAAUAUAUAGGUAAGAAUAUUUUCCACCAUUGCUGCUCAGACGUAUCGCUUUAUGAAGGAGGUGGAAGGAGGUCAGAUCAUACUCAGCACUUCCGAGUGGGGAAGAAAGAGGGAGGACUAGGACCUGGACUCAAGGAUUCUGCUCCAGACCUUUACUUGCACCACAAGCCUUCCUCCUCUGCCUCAUCCAUGCUCCCUAGUAUGCCGAGGAUGCAGCCCCAGCCAGAGGCUUCAGAAAGCUUUAAGGAUUCUCGUGUUCCUUGGAAUCAAGCCUGGAAAUGGAAAUCUGGUGUAGUCUCAUGUUGUGAGGCAAUGCAGCCCAGCCUUUGA
RNAcentral lists this long non-coding RNA (499 nucleotides) under Sus scrofa (pig). RNAcentral describes it as "lncRNA (ENSSSCG00055029885.1, ENSSSCG00070025138.1)". The record is from RNAcentral. Lineage: Eukaryota; Metazoa; Chordata; Mammalia; Artiodactyla; Suidae.